UCGAGGGGCCUACUAGUGGCAAACGGGUGAGUAACACAUUGGUAACCUGCCCCAAAGAGUGGAAUAACUCCGCGAAAGCGGAACUAAUACCACGUGUGGUCUUCCGACAUAUGUCGGAAAAAGAAAGGCCCGCAAGGGCCGCUUUGGGAGGGGCCUAUGGCUUAUCAGCUAGUUGGUGAGGUAAUGGCUCACCAAGGCUAUGACGAGUAGCGGGCGUGAGAGCGCGACCCGCCUCAGUGGGACUGAGACACUGCCCACACUCCUACGGGAGGCUGCAGUCGAGAAUAUUCCCCAAUGGGCGAAAGCCUGAGGGAGCGGCGCCGCGUGCAGGAUGAAGGUCUUCGGAUUGUAAACUGCUUUUCUCUGGGAUGAACUUUGACCGUACCAGAGGAAUAAGAGGUUGCUAACUCUGUGCCAGCAGCAGCGGUAAUACAGAGACCUCGAGCGUUAUCCGGAUUUACUGGGCGUAAAGGGUCCGCAGGUGGUUUUGUAAGUCUUCGGUUAAAUCCUUGAGCUCAACUCGAGAACCGCCGAGGAAACUACAAGGCUUGAGACCGGGAGAGGCGAGCGGAAUUGCUGGUGUAGUAGUAAAAUGCGUUAAUAUCGGCAAGAACACCAAAUGCGAGGGCAGCUCGCUAGACGGUUCUGACACUCAGGGACGAAAGCGUGGGUAGCGAUACGGAUUAGAUACCCGUGUAGUCCACGCCCUAAACGAUGGGUACUGGGCAUUGGGAGUAUCGACCUCUCGGUGCCGCAGCUAACGCAAUAGUAUUCCACCUGGGGAGUACGGCCGCAGGU
RNAcentral lists this ribosomal RNA (798 nucleotides) under uncultured bacterium. RNAcentral's name for it is "bacterial SSU rRNA". It matches the Rfam family "Bacterial small subunit ribosomal RNA", at positions 80 to 894 of the family's 1533-position model. The record is from RNAcentral.